RNAcentral lists this long non-coding RNA (2597 nucleotides) under Coffea arabica (coffee). RNAcentral describes it as "long non-coding RNA (CARA_LNC002752)". Lineage: Eukaryota; Viridiplantae; Streptophyta; Magnoliopsida; Gentianales; Rubiaceae. The record is from RNAcentral.
ACCAUAUUUGCAUCUUGGUAUUUCAGUUAGUUUUUUUUGCCACAUCACUGAGGAAUCUCUAUACUGGUUGUGCCUUUGUUCUUCCUCUCAAUGGCUGCACCUGUUGCUUCUGCUUCUCGGUUUCUUCUCAAUUUCGCCAAGAUUCUAGGUCGUCCUUCUCCGCUUCACAGUGUGCACCUGACUUACCUGUCAUUAUAUCCAAUUGUUGUUAAGUUUAGGUGGCUAUAUAACUUUUAGUUACUCUCAAUCUUUACCAUUUGGAACUAGCUUCUCAAAAAAAAAUUGUUUUAACCAGAGCUACUGGGUAUCACCCUCUCCUUCAAUAAUAGGGAGAAACUGGACAUGUUGUUCAUGGUGAAGUUUUUAUUCAAUGGUAAUUUUGCAGUAUUGUAGAUUGGAUUUCAGUUUUUUUUCCUUCCUAUGCUCAGAAGAAGAUAACAAUAUUUAAUCUGCCCUUUUUCAUCAGUUACUUUUAUAAUGUAGAAUCCCCCAGGCAAAUGUACAUUUAUACAGUAAUUAUUAGGUGAUUUCGCCUUUUCUUUUUAGGAAGAAAUAGAUACGUCAUUUUCCUUCAAUUCUUGGACAUUGGACCGUUUUGAUGAGAAUGGGAUUAGAUGGUUGUUGAUUCUAAAAGAUUGAUGAUGGGUGCUUGAAGGUCUUCAAAAUCCUAAGGUGAAGUCUUGCGUUGAGUAUUUUGAGGUCCUAAUCGUUGAAGGUUGCACCUUAUAGUGAUAAUAAUUUUUUUCACUUCUUUCAAUUUCUUUUUAGUGAUUAUCGUUUUUUUCUUCUUUCAAUUUUUUUAGUGGUAAUCAUGUUUUAUUUUCUUCUUUCAAUUUUUUUUUGGAUGGCAAAAUCAAGUUUCUAGUCAUUUAAUUUAAUUGGAAAAAUAUGAGCAAUGUCUUUGAAUUUCUAUUUGGAUGAGUUCAGUUGUGUGCCUGCAUAGGUGUGUGCUUGUGUUUAUCCUCCUACUCCACAGGUUCAAAAGAUAUUGUAGGAGUGUUCUGCAUUCUGCAUAAUGUGGUACCAGUCGAUAACAAUGGUCCUUGUAAUGUUCCAUCAUCUUAACUCUGCUUCAUGGUAUGCAUUCAACUUUUACAGUAAUAUCUUGGUUGUGAAUAUGAAGGUUAAUGUGUCAGCCUUGUAUUGGCCGUGACAAAGGUAAGGCAACAUGACCUCCUUUGGCCUUCUGAGUUUCAUAGAGUACUUGUUUUAUUAUUCUACUGCAUGAGAUUGCACUCCUGAUUGAAAUUCUGUUUCUUCUUAUGCAUAUAUGAUGAAACCUGAGUAGGGGGAAUAUGGAAGGCAGACCUGGAUAUCUGCUCUUUGUGAUGUUUUAGAGCCCUCUAAGCUAAUAUAAACUGAGCUUGGUGUGCAACUCAGUGAUGAAAAUUGUUUAAACACGUAUGCUAUGCAUGGGUUACUUUUGUUUGUAGUGUUAUGAUUGACUGGAUACUUAUUUUUCUCUGUAGUGUUACGGUUGGCUGGAUACAUUUAUCUUGAUGAAUUCAUAGUGAUGCUAAACAUAGGGUUCCAUGCCUAUGAUUUAGUGUUUAGAACUAGAAUGGCUUUAUGCUUUUCUAUUGAUAAUGAAAUUGUUUAAUUGCAAUAUAAGGAAGUAUGCCAUGUGUGAGAAUUAAUCUUUAAGAUUUGCUGUUAUAAGUUGCCUUUGCAAUUUCUUGUAAUGGGAGAUUGAUAAAUUGGCUUGGUAAUUUAAACUCUCAAUUUAACAAGAUACAUCACAUGCUUCUUUGGUAGGAAGGGACAAAAUGGACAAAGGAAUGAGGAAGUGAAGUUGUAGGAUAAAGGUCCAUAAUCUCCUUUUUUUUUGCUUUAUUCAUAUGGUUCUUGGUAUCCAUUGUUAGGUUGGAACUUGGACCUGGUGUAUUAGUAGGUAGAGGACCUGUUUAAUGAAUUAGGUUUAGUUAUUGGUCCAGUGGGGAUGCUAUCUCUGUAUCAACUUUUAAAUUGGCGAAUGUGGUGUGGUUUACUUGACAUUGCUUAGAGGACAUCAAAAGAGUCCUUUUUUUUAAUUUUUAUUUUAGGGAUAAUUUCAGAAACUCCCUAACGCCUCCCCUGAAGUUUUCAAAAUAGUAGACACCUCUCCUGAUUAUUUUGAAAACCUUAGAGGAGGUCAGUGAGAAUGUUGGAAACCUUAGAGUUGGUUUCUGAACUUAUCCCUAAGUUUUAUAUGUAUAUUUUUUCUUGGGACCAAUUUAUUGAUUUCCUUUGUUUUACAUGGCACCUAGAUCAAUGUUAUUCAGCUUCCAUGUUGGUGACAAGUAGAAACUGUGCAAGAGGUAAUGUAUAAUCAUGUGAGUAGAAUUAGAAAUGUCUUUGAGUUGUAUGGCAAAAGCUGAUGGCAUUAUCAAUUGUAAGAACAUGUUCAAUUGAUUACUUGUCCAUGGUGCUGUUUUUAACAGUUUUUUUCUAGUUAUCCAACCACAAAAAAAAAAGAAAAGAAAAAUCAAAAUCAGUGUGUUUGGAUUGUAAAUUAUUUGAGAUAUUUUUAUUGUAGUACUUUUUGUGAUGUGAUAAUAUGUAAAAUAAAAAGAUAAUUGGGAAGAUAAAAAGUUGUAUUGAAAAUUAUAAUGGUGAUG